GCGCCCGUAGCUCAACCGGAUAGAGCACCGGCCUUCUAAGCCGGGGGUUACAGAUUCGAUCUCUGUCGGGCGCACCA
RNAcentral lists this transfer RNA (77 nucleotides) under Gammaproteobacteria bacterium. RNAcentral's name for it is "tRNA-Arg". It matches the Rfam family "tRNA". Rfam says of the family: Transfer RNA (tRNA) molecules are approximately 80 nucleotides in length. Their secondary structure includes four short double-helical elements and three loops (D, anti-codon, and T loops). Lineage: Bacteria; Pseudomonadati; Pseudomonadota; Gammaproteobacteria. The record is from RNAcentral.